This 497-nucleotide ribosomal RNA is filed under the name uncultured bacterium. RNAcentral's name for it is "partial 16S ribosomal RNA". It matches the Rfam family "Bacterial small subunit ribosomal RNA", at positions 28 to 507 of the family's 1533-position model. The record is from RNAcentral.
GACGAACGCUGGCGGCGUGCCUAAUACAUGCAAGUAGAACGCUGAAGAGAGGAGCUUGCUCUUCUUGGAUGAGUUGCGAACGGGUGAGUAACGCGUAGGUAACCUGCCUUGUAGCGGGGGAUAACUAUUGGAAACGAUAGCUAAUACCGCAUAACAAUGGAUGACACAUGUCAUUUAUUUGAAAGGGGCAAUUGCUCCACUACAAGAUGGACCUGCGUUGUAUUAGCUAGUAGGUGAGGUAAUGGCUCACCUAGGCGACGAUACAUAGCCGACCUGAGAGGGUGAUCGGCCACACUGGGACUGAGACACGGCCCAGACUCCUACGGGAGGCAGCAGUAGGGAAUCUUCGGCAAUGGGGGCAACCCUGACCGAGCAACGCCGCGUGAGUGAAGAAGGUUUUCGGAUCGUAAAGCUCUGUUGUAAGUCAAGAACGGGUGUGAGAGAGGAAAGUUCACACUGUGACGGUAGCUUACCAGAAAGGGACGGCUAACUACGUG